RNAcentral lists this long non-coding RNA (523 nucleotides) under Meleagris gallopavo (turkey). RNAcentral's name for it is "lncRNA (ENSMGAG00000022158.1)". Lineage: Eukaryota; Metazoa; Chordata; Aves; Galliformes; Phasianidae. The record is from RNAcentral.
AUGUCAAGUCUCAGUCAUCAGUAUGGUGCACUGGAAAGGCUUUGUGCGAAAGCCUUGAGGGCUGAGAGGCAGCUGACAGCCAUUAUCCGAGGCCAAGAGCACCUGGGAACGCCAGGAUCUGACCCCAUUUGGGCAUCUCAUCUCAAGAUUUUCUUUUUUCCUGUAGAUGUUUAUAGGAGUUGAGUGAAGUAAUAAACUACGAGUCUGGGGAGGCGAGCCAUGCACUACGUGCUGUCAGGCCCAAAACAGGAGAGAAUUUAAGGGUGGGUACUUUUUUAUUAAACAGUAAUUUUGAGAAACUCCUUACUGCAGGACCUGAGCAUCUCCCAGCCCACCUGAAUGGGGAGACCUUGUGGUGUGUCACAUUGCUGCUCCAAACAAGCACAGUGAAGUCAAAGUCUAGCAGUAAAAACCAUUAGCUAUUUCCUGCUCCCAGUCUGGGUGCACAGGCUCAGCCUUCUAGUAACUGUGGGAGAAUGACAGGCUGCCCAAUACUCAUAUAGGGUUAGAACAGCAAUCACGG